GCAGCGAANGGUGCUUGCACCUUUCAAGCGAGUGGCGAACGGGUGAGUAACACGUGGAUAACCUGCCUCAAGGCUGGGGAUAACAUUUGGAAACAGAUGCUAAUACCGAAUAAAACUUAGUAUCGCAUGAUACAAAGUUGAAAGGCGCUACGGCGUCACCUAGAGAUGGGUCCGCGGUGCAUUAGUUAGUUGGUGGGGUAAAGGCCUACCAAGACAAUGAUGCAUAGCCGAGUUGAGAGACUGAUCGGCCACAUUGGGACUGAGACACGGCCCAAACUCCUACGGGAGGCUGCAGUAGGGAAUCUUCCACAAUGGGCGAAAGCCUGAUGGAGCAACGCCGCGUGUGUGAUGAAGGCUUUAGGGUCGUAAAGCACUGUUGUAUGGGAAGAAAUGCUAGAAUAGGGAAUGAUUCUAGUUCGACGGUACCAUACCAGAAAGGGACGGCUAAAUACGUGCCAGCAGCCGCGGUAAUACGUAUGUCCCGAGCGUUAUCCGGAUUUAUUGGGCGUAAAGCGAGCGCAGA
RNAcentral lists this ribosomal RNA (523 nucleotides) under Leuconostoc lactis. Its description in RNAcentral is "bacterial SSU rRNA". It matches the Rfam family "Bacterial small subunit ribosomal RNA", at positions 66 to 575 of the family's 1533-position model. Lineage: Bacteria; Bacillati; Bacillota; Bacilli; Lactobacillales; Lactobacillaceae. The record is from RNAcentral.